RNAcentral lists this ribosomal RNA (490 nucleotides) under uncultured bacterium. RNAcentral's name for it is "partial 16S ribosomal RNA". It matches the Rfam family "Bacterial small subunit ribosomal RNA", at positions 30 to 507 of the family's 1533-position model. The record is from RNAcentral.
AUUGAACGCUGGCGGCAGGCCUAACACAUGCAAGUCGAACGGUAACAGGAAGCAGCUUGCUGCUUUGCUGACGAGUGGCGGACGGGUGAGUAAUGUCUGGGAAACUGCCUGAUGGAGGGGGAUAACUACUGGAAACGGUAGCUAAUACCGCAUAACGUCGCAAGACCAAUGAGGGGGACCUUAGGGCCUCUUGCCAUCGGAUGUGCCCAGAUGGGAUUAGCUAGUAGGUGGGGUAACGGCUCACCUAGGCGACGAUCCCUAGCUGGUCUGAGAGGAUGACCAGCCACACUGGAACUGAGACACGGUCCAGACUCCUACGGGAGGCAGCAGUGGGGAAUAUUGCACAAUGGGCGCAAGCCUGAUGCAGCCAUGCCGCGUGUAUGAAGAAGGCCUUCGGGUUGUAAAGUACUUUCAGCGGGGAGGAAGGGAGUAAAGUUAAUACCUUUGCUCAUUGACGUUACCCGCAGAAGAAGCACCGGCUAACUCCGUG